AGAGUUUGAUCAUGGCUCAGGAUGAACGCUAGCGGCAGGCUUAACACAUGCAAGUCGAGGGGUAUAGGUUUUCGGACCUAGAGACCGGCGCACGGGUGCGUAACGCGUAUGCAAUCUACCUUUUACAGAGGGAUAGCCCAGAGAAAUUUGGAUUAAUACCUCAUAGUAUGUGAGAAUGGCAUCAUUUUCACAUUAAAGUCACAACGGUAAAAGAUGAGCAUGCGUCCCAUUAGCUAGUUGGUAAGGUAACGGCUUACCAAGGCAACGAUGGGUAGGGGUCCUGAGAGGGAGAUCCCCCACACUGGUACUGAGACACGGACCAGACUCCUACGGGAGGCAGCAGUGAGGAAUAUUGGACAAUGGGCGCAAGCCUGAUCCAGCCAUGCCGCGUGCAGGAUGACGGUCCUAUGGAUUGUAAACUGCUUUUGUACGAGAAGAAACACUCCUACGUGUAGGAGCUUGACGGUAUCGUAAGAAUAAGGAUCGGCUAACUCCGUGCCAGCAGCCGCGGUAAUACGGAGGAUCCAAGCGUUAUCCGGAAUCAUUGGGUUUAAAGGGUCCGUAGGCGGUUUAGUAAGUCAGUGGUGAAAGCCCAUCGCUCAACGGUGGAACGGCCAUUGAUACUGCUAGACUUGAAUUAUUAGGAAGUAACUAGAAUAUGUAGUGUAGCGGUGAAAUGCUUAGAGAUUACAU
Molecule: ribosomal RNA, 693 nt
Filed under: uncultured bacterium
Lineage: Bacteria
Description: bacterial SSU rRNA
Rfam family: Bacterial small subunit ribosomal RNA
Source: RNAcentral